RNAcentral lists this long non-coding RNA (249 nucleotides) under Ursus maritimus (polar bear). RNAcentral describes it as "lncRNA (ENSUMAG00000016426.1)". The record is from RNAcentral. Lineage: Eukaryota; Metazoa; Chordata; Mammalia; Carnivora; Ursidae.
GCCUUCUGUCUCCUUUUCGUCCCUCCCCUGUUUUUUUCUCCGGUUGAAAAUCUGCAAAACCUUUCCGCAGACGUUGGCAACACAGUAGACUCGGUUGUGGAUUUGAGGACCUGGGCAAUGUUCCUGAUUUUAUGCAGAUGCCAUGGCUCCAUAUAUAAAGGACAUUCACUAAAAAGAAGGAGAUGCUGCAAGAAUCUGCUAUCACAGAUAUGGAGAGUGGGAAGUGUCCAGACACCAUUAAAAGCAUGA